AGAGUGAACGCUGGCGGUAGGCCUAACACAUGCAAGUCGAACGGCAGCACAGUGGUAGCAAUACCAUGGGUGGCGAGUGGCGGACGGGUGAGGAAUACAUCGGAAUCUACCUUUUCGUGGGGGAUAACGUAGGGAAACUUACGCUAAUACCGCAUACGCCCUUCGGGGGAAAGCCGGGGAUCGCAAGACCUGGCGCGGAUAGAUGAGCCGAUGUCGGAUUAGCUAGUUGGUGAGGUAAUGGCUCACCAAGGCGACGAUCCGUAGCUGGUCUGAGAGGAUGAUCACGCCACACUGGAACUGAGACACGGUCCAGUACUCCGUACGGGAGGCAGCAGGUCGGGAAUAUUGGACAAGUGGCGACAACGCCUAGACUACCACGCCACUACCGGCGGUU
Molecule: ribosomal RNA, 394 nt
Filed under: uncultured soil bacterium
Lineage: Bacteria
Description: bacterial SSU rRNA
Rfam family: Bacterial small subunit ribosomal RNA
Source: RNAcentral